GAUGAACGCUGGCGGCGUGCCUAAUACAUGCAAGUCGAGCGAACGGACGAGAAGCUUGCUUCUCUGAUGUUAGCGGCGGACGGGUGAGUAACACGUGGAUAACCUACCUAUAAGACUGGGAUAACUUCGGGAAACCGGAGCUAAUACCGGAUGAUAUUUUGAACCGCAUGGUUCAAAAGUGAAAGACGGUCUUGCUGUCACUUAUAGAUGGAUCCGCGCUGCAUUAGCUAGUUGGUAAGGUAACGGCUUACCAAGGCAACGAUGCAUAGCCGACCUGAGAGGGUGAUCGGCCACACUGGAACUGAGACACGGUCCAGACUCCUACGGGAGGCAGCAGUAGGGAAUCUGCCGCAAUGGGCGAAAGCCUGACGGCGCAACGCCGCGUGAGUGAUGAAGGUCUUCGGAUCGUAAAACUCUGUUAUUAGGGAAGAACAGAUGUGUAAGUAACUGUGCACAUCUUGACGGUACCUAAUCAGAAAGCCACGGCUAACUACGUG
This 497-nucleotide ribosomal RNA is filed under the name uncultured bacterium. RNAcentral describes it as "partial 16S ribosomal RNA". It matches the Rfam family "Bacterial small subunit ribosomal RNA", at positions 28 to 507 of the family's 1533-position model. The record is from RNAcentral.